This 341-nucleotide ribosomal RNA is filed under the name uncultured bacterium. RNAcentral's name for it is "partial 16S ribosomal RNA". It matches the Rfam family "Bacterial small subunit ribosomal RNA", at positions 338 to 671 of the family's 1533-position model. The record is from RNAcentral.
CCUACGUGAGGCAGCAGUAGGGAAUUUUCCACAAUGGGCGAAAGCCUGAUGGAGCAACGCCGCGUGGGUGAAGAAGGUCUUCGGAUCGUAAAACCCUGUUGUUAGAGAAGAAAGUGCGUGAGAGUAACUGUUCACGUUUCGACGGUAUCUAACCAGAAAGCCACGGCUAACUACGUGCCAGCAGCCGCGGUAAUACGUAGUUGGCAAGCGUUAUCCGGAUGUAUUUGUCGUAAAGGGAACGCAGGCGGGCUGUGAAGUCUGUUGUGAAAGCCUUCGGCUUAACCGGAGUAGUGCAUUGGAAACUGGGAGACUUGAGUGCAGGAGAGGAGAGUGGAACUCCA